Macaca mulatta (Rhesus monkey) is the source of this 416-nucleotide non-coding RNA. Lineage: Eukaryota; Metazoa; Chordata; Mammalia; Primates; Cercopithecidae. The record is from RefSeq and is a predicted model, not a curated record.
AGCUGGGAGGAAUCGGUUCAUGCAACAAGCCCGGGGUGCGCCGGCCAGCUGGCAGGAGCGCUCCAGAGCCAGGGUGCCAGAUCCCAAACAGCUGCAUCACUGCUCAUCCAUCUGUAGCACACACCAUAUGCCAAACCCCAAACCUGGACGCCCACAUGAUUUAGAAUUGGUGCAAAAUAGUAAGGGAGCAGUGUUCUUGAUCGACUUCAGGAAACCGUUUCUCAGAUGGCAAGGCUCCAGUGGCCAUGGGAAGAUGGAAUGGCACUCCGUGGUCACUCGGAGAUGGCAGUGCUGACCUCCGAUGCAGAUUCCAGGCCAUGUUUGGAGCUGGGCAUGCUGUUAUUUGAUACAUCUCUCAUCAGGUAAGUCCCCUUUUUGGAAUCAUUUCAGAGUAAGUCCCCUGCUCCCCCUGCCCC